UUUUUGCUUGGGUUCUAGGGAAACAAUAUCUUGGAAUUUUGAAAAUUGCUCUUUGUUAAAUCAGGUAUUAAACAUUACUAGAAAUUUUAACUCACAAGGUUUGUACAAAUUUAUUAGGCUGCUCAACACCAUGGCUUGCAUGUACGUAGUCUCCAGUUUGAAGAUGCUCAGCAGAAAGUAGUAACAAAUAGGCAUGUACAAAACACUUCAGGUAUUGAAAAUAGUUCUAGGCCACUUGCCUCUUCUGCAGAUAGAGGGGGCCCCAAAUCACUAUCCUUGGAGACACCAUCAACUCCCAUUCGUCGGGUUGGUAUGACCCAGCAUACGGAUUAUCCUGGAAAUAGUGGGAAUUAUAGCAUAAAUUUUCCAAAGCCCGUAGGUAUUGGCUUGCACCUAAAUAGCAUUGUCAGCACUACGCAAGCAGGAACUGGAGAAACUGUAAUUGUGAAAUCAUCUGAAAAGGGUAUUUUAAGUAUACGGAAUGAGCAACAAGUGACUACUCUGAGCUCUCAUCUAUCUGAAAACUCAAAGAACUCUUCAUAUUUGUCUGUGUUGGAGAGUGUUCUCGGAAGUCCUGAUGAAAGUAGGCGUGAAAGUGAUCAUGCCUUGGUGGCAGCUAAUUCUGCUAUUUCUGUGUCCACUUAUGACGCAAAACCUUUGGACAACCCUAUGGUCUGUAAUCCAAUUGAGGAUCAAUCAACUCCAGUUAACAAGAGGAAGUCUAACGCUGGAAAUGCUGAUGAUGCAGAGGAGUUUAACAAGUCAAGCCCCAAAAGGAAGAGGCAAGCCUACAACUUAUCUUAUGAAUAAUGAGUUUUAUUAGUUGUCUCCAUUUUUACUACAUUAUUUUAGCUGCAAUUUUUCCAGGAAGAAAACACCCGAGUCCAAUGAUGAUUACAGUAGCAAACUUUGCAACUGCAAGAAGUCUAAAUGCUUGAAGCUGUAAGCGCAUAAAAUGUUUUCUUACAAAUUUAGAUUUACACUUCUAUCACGUGCUUUUGUAAUUUGUUUCCUUGUAGUUACUGUGAUUGCUUUGCUGCUGGAAUAUAUUGUGCGGAACCUUGUUCUUGCCAAGGGUGCUAUAACAGGCCUGAAUAUGAGGAUACGGUUCUAGAGACACGCCAACAAAUUGAAUCUCGCAAUCCUCUGGCAUUUGCUCCAAAGAUAGUACAGAACUUCAUUUAUCCAUCUUCAAGCAUUUGUGGGGUAUUGAGGCAUCGAAAUUUAUAAUUUUGCUGUACAACAGUGCAAUGUUAACUGAAUUAUUAAGUUGAAAUGUUCACAGGAAGAUGAGACUCAGUUAUCAAAGCCCUCCAUAAGGCACAAAAGAGGGUGCAAUUGCAAGAAGUCGAUGUGCCUCAAAAAGUACUGUGAGUGCUAUCAGGUACGUGGGUGUGCUUAUGGGCAUGAUUAUCUACGUUGUUUUUUCGUGGGGUUGGGGCUUAGAACCUCUGAGUCAUGCUAAGUACUACUUAAUUGCAUUUGCUCUUAUAAAAUGAGUUUUUUUACCUUAUGAUAGGCAAAAGUUGGUUGUUCUGAUGGAUGUCGAUGCGAAGGAUGUAAAAAUGACUAUGGCCAAAAGGGAGGUAUGAUUUGCAUUUGAAGUUCUGUUAUCACAUUGCAUGAGAUUCUACUUGUUAAUACUCAGGAGACUUGAGGAAUAGCUAUUAAUGUGUCUGAACAGGCAAAUAAGACUAUAAGAAUAUGAAUUGCUCUCUAUGGAAAUGACCUGGAGAUGCUCCCUAUAUAUCUAAGUAGAAAAAUAUGCUGCUUGCUUAGCAGGUUUAGCUUUGUUUGAACACUGUUAAAUCUGGACUAGUUUUCUUAUGUGUUUCUUAUUGCCUCUAUUUUAUUUUAUUUAUUUAUUUAUUUUUCAGUCUGUAUAAGGUUUUGAAUUUGGGGGUACCAAUGAGAGUAUAAUGACAAGUACGAAAAUAGAUAUUUUCUUGUACUCCAACAAAGUGAUAUAUAGCAAUUUUAAGUUAUUAUAAAGUAUAUCUCUGAACUUUUUGUGGUUUCAUUUCUAUUUGAACUGGAUGCUCCAUCUUUCAGAAUAUGGCAUGGAUAACGUCGUGGGCAUGCAAGGUUCUGAUGAAACAACAGAUGGCUCCUCUGUUGAAAAACUUGAAAUGGUGGGGUCUGGAAAUGCUUUGUAUCAUACUGAGCUAAGCAAUCCUCAUAAUUUGACUCCUCUGACACCAUCAUUCCAAUACUCAGAGUAAGAUUAGUUCUUUCUAGAUACAUUUCGAUUCCCAUGCACUUAAUUUCUGGUUAAAUGAUUAGCUAGGUACUUGAAAUUUGAAAUAGCUUUGUGGGCAAAUAUCUUUCCUUUUUCUCCUGAAAUUGUGCAGCCAGGGAAAAGGUGCAUCAAAAGCUUGGUUCUCUUCUGGAAAAUACUUCCAUUCACCAGAAUCUGGUCCCACCUUUGGGGCACCAUGCAUCACGUUCCCAAGGUCUCCUGGGAAUGUGUAUAAUUCUGAUAUGAUCUCAGAAUCUUCUAAAGAAAUUCUGGAUCUAGAUUCUUUUGAUCAUGAACUAGAUUACCACAAAGCAGAAGCGGUCAAUGACUUCUCAUUUGGGCACCAUGGACCUGGCAAUAAGGAGCUUCUUGCUGGUCCGCUAAAUGCAGGAGAAUCGGAAAACAAUUGGAAAGUUCAACCAUUUUCUGGAAGUGGACAUUUUUCUCCAGCAAGCUCCCUUCGUUGGCGUGGUUCACCGAUCACCCCUAUGGCUCAGUUUAGUGGGACUAAACUUCCUCAAGCUGCUGACUAUUAUGAUGGUUUACACAACAUUCUGGAAGAUGACACACCAGAGAUUCUGAAGGACACUCCUAACCCACUCAAUGCUGUGAAAGUAAGAUCUCCAAAUAAGAGGCAAGUUUCUCCCCCUCAUGAACAUUCGCUUGAGCUGGGUUCAACGUCAUCAGAAGGCCUGAGAAUUUCUCGCAAGUUCAUACUGCAAGCCGUUCCCUCAUUCCCACCUCUUACGCCUUGUGUUGAAUCUAAAAACGCUAGACAAAAAAAGACAUAAUCCGCAGAAUUGUAGCAACAACAGCAUAUGAGAUGAAGCAUAUGAGGUAAGUGUUGACAAUUACAUCGUGGGAGAAUGGAUGUUAUGCCCAGCAGGUUUUUUUGAGCAUGAUUUCACAAUGUUAUCCUGUUAUUUCACCAUUAGCACGUCUGUUUCUCUUCAGGACCUGCUCUAUACCCUCAAAUGGUUUUUCAUCCAUAUCAAUGAAAGCAACCUUUAGGUCACUAUAAUCUGCCAGGUAUAGGCAUUACUUGCAACAUGUUUGGUAGAAAGUAUUGGACAGCUUUAACAUGAUCAAGAAAGAAAAAGAUAAGAAACUAAAAUCAUUCAGGUUCAAUACUGCGGACUAAACAUGUACUUUGGAGCAUAAGCUCAAUUCAUCUUCUAAUCCUGCUUUUUAAAUGUCCUCAUUAGAAACCGAAGUUGCAACGCUUUUCGAGGCUCCAAAUACAAAAAUGAAAGAAAGCCUCAAGUAGAAUGGAAGAUUUCCAAAUGUACAGCAUCCUGUCCAACCCCCUUCAUGUUCAUACUUUCUAGAUGUUAAACAGAUGCUGCAUGCUGCUAUACUCUAUUGGUUAGGAAAAAAACAAGUCGGCCUUUUUGAUUUUCCAUGACGAUGAAUACCAUGUUCUGAGGGAAAGAGACUUGUAUUUUUUUGGCAUUUAAUUUCAAUGAGUACAUUCUCUAAUAAUAAAAUUUGAGCCUUGACUCAAGUCA
This 3747-nucleotide long non-coding RNA is filed under the name Olea europaea subsp. europaea. Lineage: Eukaryota; Viridiplantae; Streptophyta; Magnoliopsida; Lamiales; Oleaceae. The record is from RNAcentral.